AUUGAACGCUGGCGGCAGGCUUAACGCACGCAAGUCGAGCGGGGGAAGGUAGCUUGCUACCGGACCUAGCGGCGGACGGGUGAGUAAUGCUUAGGAAUCUGCCUAUUAGUGGGGGACAACAUCUCGAAAGGGAUGCUAAUACCGCAUACGUCCUACGGGAGAAAGCAGGGGAUCUUCGGACCUUGCGCUAAUAGAUGAGCCUAAGUCGGAUUAGCUAGUUGGUGGGGUAAAGGCCUACCAAGGCGACGAUCUGUAGCGGGUCUGAGAGGAUGAUCCGCCACACUGGGACUGAGACACGGCCCAGACUCCUACGGGAGGCAGCAGUGGGGAAUAUUGGACAAUGGGGGGAACCCUGAUCCAGCCAUGCCGCGUGUGUGAAGAAGGCCUUAUGGUUGUAAAGCACUUUAAGCGAGGAGGAGGCUACUCUAGUUAAUACCUAGGGAUAGUGGACGUUACUCGCAGAAUAAGCACCGGCUAACUCUGUGCCAGCCGCCGCGGUAA
Molecule: ribosomal RNA, 501 nt
Filed under: uncultured bacterium
Lineage: Bacteria
Description: partial 16S ribosomal RNA
Rfam family: Bacterial small subunit ribosomal RNA
Source: RNAcentral